Molecule: transfer RNA, 69 nt
Filed under: Rattus norvegicus (Norway rat)
Lineage: Eukaryota; Metazoa; Chordata; Mammalia; Rodentia; Muridae
Rfam family: tRNA
About the family: Transfer RNA (tRNA) molecules are approximately 80 nucleotides in length. Their secondary structure includes four short double-helical elements and three loops (D, anti-codon, and T loops).
Source: Rfam by way of RNAcentral
GGGGAUUUAGCUCAGUGGUAGAGCGCUUGCCUUGCAAGCACAAGGCCCUGGGUUCGGUCCUCAGCUCCG